CAGUAGCCGCGGUAAUACGAAGGGGGCUAGCGUUGUUCGGAAUUACUGGGCGUAAAGGGCGCGUAGGCGGCCAUUCAAGUUAGAUGUGAAAGCCCUGGGCUCAACCUAGGAAUUGCAUUUGAUACUGUUUGGCUUGAGUUUGGGAGAGGUGAGUGGAAUUCCCAGUGUAGAGGUGAAAUUCGUAGAUAUUGGGAAGAACACCAGUGGCGAAGGCGGCUCACUGGACCGACACUGACGCUGAGGCGCGAAAGCGUGGGGAGCAAACAGGAUUAGAUACCCCAGUAGUCCCUGUCUCUUAUAC
Molecule: ribosomal RNA, 301 nt
Filed under: uncultured bacterium
Lineage: Bacteria
Description: partial 16S ribosomal RNA
Rfam family: Bacterial small subunit ribosomal RNA
Source: RNAcentral